CAAGUCGUGGGGCAGCAGGGGCGUAGCAAUACGUUCGCUGGCGACCGGCAAACGGGUGCGGAACACGUACACAACCUUCCUUAAAGUGGGGGAUAGCCCGGGGAAACCCGGAUUAAUACCCCGUAACAUAGUGAAGUGGCAUCGCUUUAUUAUUAUAGCAGCAAUGCGCUUAAAGAUGGGCGUGCGACUGAUUAGGCAGUUGGCGGGGUAACGGCCCACCAAACCUACGAUCAGUAACUGGUGUGAGAGCACGACCAGUCACACGGGCACUGAGACACGGGCCCGACUCCUACGGGAGGCAGCAGUAAGGAAUAUUGGUCAAUGGACGCAAGUCUGAACCAGCCAUGCCGCGUGGAGGAUGAAGGUCCUCUGGAUUGUAAACUUCUUUUAUCUGGGAAGAAAUCCACAAAUUCUUUUGUGGUUGACGGUACCAGAUGAAUAAGCACCGGCUAACUCCGUGCCAGCAGCCGCGGUAAUACGGAGGGUGCAAGCGUUAUCCGGAUUCACUGGGUUUAAAGGGUGCGUAGGUGGGUUGGUAAGUCAGUGGUGAAAUCUCCAGGCUUAACUUGGAAACUGCCAUUGAUACUAUCAAUCUUGAAUACCGUGGAGGCCAGCGGAAUAUGUCAUGUAGCGGUGAAAUGCUUAGAGAUGACAUAGAACACCAAUUGCGAAGGCAGCUGGCUACGCGGAUAUUGACACUGAUGCACGAAAGCGUGGGGAUCAAACAGGAUUAGAUACCCUGGUAGUCCACGCCCUAAACGAUGGAUACUCGACAUACGCGAUAUACUGUGUGUGUCUGAGC
This 802-nucleotide ribosomal RNA is filed under the name uncultured Sphingobacteriales bacterium. RNAcentral's name for it is "bacterial SSU rRNA". It matches the Rfam family "Bacterial small subunit ribosomal RNA", at positions 58 to 852 of the family's 1533-position model. Lineage: Bacteria; Pseudomonadati; Bacteroidota; Sphingobacteriia; Sphingobacteriales. The record is from RNAcentral.